CUGACUUGAUCUGCCAUUCCUACUCCCCUGUACCGCAUGGGAUAUAUGAGUUAAGAGUGAAGCCUUGGGAAGAAAAUGGUAGAGGAAAGACUACCUUAACAAUACAACUUCACCAAGAAAAAAAGUUGCAUUCAAGUGUCAUUAUGCUAACCAGAAUACUAGCAUGUAGCAAGCUGUACAGUGGUAGCAUCCAAGAAAGAAGAUUUUACAAGCGGAUGAAGCAAAAACAAUGCCAUGGUCAAGACAAGAACAGAGAAUAAAAUCUUAAUUUAUUCAAAAAUA
This is a long non-coding RNA of Numida meleagris (helmeted guineafowl), 282 nucleotides long. RefSeq lists it as uncharacterized. The transcript has 2 exons. Lineage: Eukaryota; Metazoa; Chordata; Aves; Galliformes; Numididae. The record is from RefSeq and is a predicted model, not a curated record.